GGCAAGGUGGCCGAGUGGUUAAGGCGCACGGUUCAGGCCUACCUGGACUACGCACAGUUUUCCGUGUUCUUAAUUGAGCGUGGGUUCGAAUCCCACCCUUGUCA
Molecule: non-coding RNA, 104 nt
Organism: Aspergillus puulaauensis
Lineage: Eukaryota; Fungi; Ascomycota; Eurotiomycetes; Eurotiales; Aspergillaceae
Source: the annotation of a RefSeq genome assembly